This 479-nucleotide ribosomal RNA is filed under the name uncultured bacterium. RNAcentral's name for it is "bacterial SSU rRNA". It matches the Rfam family "Bacterial small subunit ribosomal RNA", at positions 335 to 802 of the family's 1533-position model. The record is from RNAcentral.
ACUCCUACGGGAGGCAGCAGUGGGGAAUAUUGCACAAUGGGCGCAAGCCUGAUGCAGCCAUGCCGCGUGUGUNAAGAAGGCCUUCGGGUUGUAAAGACUUUCAGUCGUGAGGAAGGUAGUGUUAGUUAAUAGGCCUGCUAUUAUUUUGACGUUAGCGACAGAAGAAGCGACCGGCUAACUCCGUGCCAGCAGCCGCGGUAAUACGGAGGGUGCGAGCGUUAAUCGGAAUUACUGGGCGUAAAGCGCAUGCAGGUGGUUUGUUAAGUCAGAUGUGAAAGCCCGGGGCUCAACCUCGGAAUUGCAUUUGAAACUGGCAGACUAGAGUACUGUAGAGGGGGGUAGAAUUUCAGGUGUAGCGGUGAAAUGCGUAGAGAUCUGAAGGAAUACCGGUGGCGAAGGCGGCCCCCUGGACAGAUACUGACACUCAGAUGCGAAAGCGUGGGGAGCAAACAGGAUUAGAUACCCUGGUAGCUACGAGU